Ctenopharyngodon idella (grass carp) is the source of this 2963-nucleotide long non-coding RNA. RefSeq lists it as uncharacterized. The transcript has 3 exons. Lineage: Eukaryota; Metazoa; Chordata; Actinopteri; Cypriniformes; Xenocyprididae. The record is from RefSeq and is a predicted model, not a curated record.
UGCUGGGAUAGCCGCCCGUCCCUUUACAUUCACAUACAGAGGAGAGGAGGUGAACUCUGCCAUCUGGAGUUGGCUAAGGAAGUGCUGCAUAUUACCAACGGUUACAUCAUUAUACACGGCCGGCACACUCACACAUGCUGCCCCAGAAUGAGCGUGCUUGCUGAAUAAAAUUCGCCUUCAAUUAGAGGAACCGGGGUGGUAUUCACAACUAUCGCAUUAAUCAAGAAGGGGCUUGACACUGGUUGUUUGUACGGACUGUCAUGGGAGAAUUCGAGAGUCACACCUGUUACACUCCAACAAGCUAGACUGAAAGAUCUUUACCCCCCACAGAGGAAGAGAAAAAAAAUGAGAGGGAAAAGGCUGCUAUUAUCUGUCUUUGUCCCUCUCCUCUCUCCUUUCUCCACUCAGACCUGUGAAAGGAUUUUGUUUGUGUAAAGCGUUCCAAAGCCUGGAGGUCAUCAAACACACUGACACUGAGGAGAUGUGACCCUUGCACCGCAGCAGACACAUGGUGUCUAAUCAUGUUUAAUUUUUAAUCACUCAUUAUUUUAAAUAUUUGGUCUUUCUGGAAUAAUGUAACAUUCUAUCUAGUGUUUUGUCUGUCUGUCUACAGUCCAUUUUCUACUGUCCAUUUUAAUAAAUAAAUGAAUAAACAAACAUAUAUAUUAAUGUACGCAUUUCAUGUUUCAAUUGUAUCAUUUGUCAUGAUGCAAUGAAACACCGAAUUGUGCGGACAUCAUUUUUAACCAACUGGUCAUACCAAGCUUGCACUCAUUUUUCCCAGCCUAUAAUUCAAUAAAUCACCAUGUGGCUGGUAUGCUAUAUUAUUAGAUGUUAUUUUAGUUUUAGUGAAAAUGGCCAGCUGGAGCAUGGUUGCAAAGAAGCCGUCCUUUGCAUCCACGAGGAUAUUGUUAAAAUGGCAAAAUUUGGUCAAUCGGUUUGGAUAUUGUGAAUAGUCACAGUUUCCACAGUAUUAUUUCAAAGCACAGUGAGACUAGUGAGCAUUUUGACAGAAGGAUGAAAAUGACCUGAAUGUGGGACCAAAUUAAAACAGCUUCUAAAGACCUGGAUGAGACGUGCAAUUCUGAGGAGCCUCCAAUUUCAUCUUGAACUCUAAGCCAACAGCUACAAGAGGCUGGAUUGAGAGGUUGUGUACCAGUAAAGAAACCAUUUAUUAGUUUCAUCAACUGCAAAGAACACCUUGCAUUUGCCAAACAGAAGGACUGGAGUGUGAAAGAUUGGAGCCGUGUUCUGCAGUCUGACAAGUCAAAAUUUAACAACCUAGCAUUGGAUGGUGUCAGGUAUGUUCAUAGGAAACGACUGGAGUGUUUUAAUACCAGAUGCAUGCAUGGAUCCAUUUACAUAAUGGUAUUAGGAACGCUUGUUUGCAGCAGGUGUUGGAAGGAUCUACAAAGUUGCUGGCACUUUGAAAAUGGACCAAUACUUGGGAAUCCUGCUGACCACAAUGUAGCCAAGAUCUGUUUGGAGAGCAAAUGUGUAUUUUCCAACAUGAUAAUAAUCCCAAACACACCACGAAUGCAAUAAAGUUGCAUGAAAAUUGCAAAUGAAAAUUGUCAUCAUUUACUCACCCUCAAGUUGAGUAAAUUAUGUAUUUUUGGUUGAACUUUCCCUUUAAAGGCAUUGAAAAUCAUUGGGAAAUUAUAAACCUGAAUUGUGAGAAGUCAUGCAGGUCUUCCAAUGAAGCUCAACUUUGGGAAGAACUUAAGGAGGAUUGGAAAGAAGUUGAGCAUGACGCAUGUGCAAAGUUUAGUGAGUCAAUACCCAGGAAUGUGGGUAUUGAAAAAAAUGGCUGCUGUAAUCAAAAACAAGAGAGAACCAACAAAAUAUUAAUAACUUAUUACAUUGUAGUCAAUGAAUGCUUUAUUUUCUGUGAGCUUUUUGUUUUUCUAUGCUUUUUCUGCAUAGUACUGUAAAACCCAUAUUCCAUGAUAUGCUGGAGAUUGCCUUUCUUGCCAAAUAAUUGUCAUUUUAGCCAAGUGUAGUGAAUUCUUCUAAUGUAUAUCAUGCUCCUCAUAGUAUUAUUAUUUAAUUAAGGCUAAAGUGUCAUUAACAGCAAAUAUCCCCUCCGGACAUCACUUUUGGCCACUACUGUUUUCACAUUAGUCUAACAGUAAUAAAAAUAACUGUAGUAAUCUUGCAACUUUAUAUCUCACAGUAAGACUUUCUUGCAAUUGAAUGCAGCUAGUUUUGAGAGUGCUGAAGUAAGCAUGUCCGUGCCAGUGCUAACAGUAGCUCACUUCUGCCCCAAUUCAUCAGCAGCUGUUAGACAACAGUGAUGCUAAUACUAUCAGUCUGCUAACAUCUGUUAGCAUGUGUGUUUCACUGAAACUACAAUAGAGACUACAAGCUCUAUCAUAGCCCAACACCUCCAUAUGCUAUCUCUGUGAAACAUCUUCAGGUAGAGAGAGUUCAGCCAUGCCUGUGAUGGAAGCGCUAUCAGCUGCUAGCAUCUGUCCAUGCUAGCUGCCAUUCAUCAAUCAGUAAGGCGGUGUGGGCAAAUAGGGCAGGAGAACGUGGGGGGAGGUGGAGAUAACAAAAUGGAGUCUUAUCGCCUGUAUCUUAUCAGCUCUAGCCCUGUGUGUUCCAGACUGAUUGGAAACGUACAGUUGAGAAAUGGUGAUAGUGGAACUUUGUGAACGAGAGCUGGAAGAGGGAAUAUUAGCACUAUUAAGGCCUUCAGAAACAGAAUCUAAUGCUAAAUGGCAAUAAUUUGACCAUAAUGUGAUUAUGGGCUGUCGUGGGAAUGAAUCCAUCAAAAUUCAUGAGACUUUUAGCACAUUUUGGUGUCUAUGCAGUUAGACACCAAACUGCAUUUUGGCUAUUGUUUUUCUUAGCGUUCUCUAAACUGAGUGCAAUUGUCACAACUGUUGUAUGGGACAUAACAAUUCUGUUGCAUGUCUACAAAAAUGUAAGUCACCCAUAACAUUUAGUUUAUGCUUCAA